Molecule: long non-coding RNA, 619 nt
Filed under: Monodelphis domestica (gray short-tailed opossum)
Lineage: Eukaryota; Metazoa; Chordata; Mammalia; Didelphimorphia; Didelphidae
Description: lncRNA (ENSMODG00000047721.1)
Source: RNAcentral
AGGCAAUAUCCUCAUUGAGAUGAGAUCUCAAGUCCAUUUGUGAAUUUGAGUAGUUAUUAUAGAAUAGAUAGAAGAAACCUUAAAGAUGAUCUUCUCCAACUCUUACCUGAAGCAUAAACUACUGGAUUAUCUCUGACAAGUCAUUAUUCAACUUCUACUUGAAUACCUCCAGUGACAUAGAACUCAUUACCUCAUGAAGCAAGCACAUACCAUUUCUGAAGAGCUCUCAUUAAGUCACACAUACCAAAGAUCUGGAUGUGCUGAACACCAAAGGCCUUGGAACUUCCAAAUGGUUCAACAUCAGAAAUAGAUAUGGUUUAUUGGAUCAUAAUCUCCUUGAGCUCGAGCAUCUCAGAGAUGGUGUGAGCCACUGGUGCUGCCGUCAGCUGCCACGUGCCAGGUCCUGAUGGCUGGAUGGAUGGACGACAUGCUUGUGCUCCACUUGGCGUUUUUGAGCCACAAGCUACAAGCUGCAGAGCAAUCGCAGCCUCUUUCCUUUGAGAGGUUUUGGCUCUGUUAGAGCACGGCCUAGCCAAGGAGGAAACAGGAGAAGGACUUGGCAAAUGAGGAUUUGUAUGUUUAAAAAAAUCUACUUUGAAAAGUAUAAAUAUAAAUAUGU